Molecule: small RNA, 81 nt
Filed under: Flavobacterium xanthum
Lineage: Bacteria; Pseudomonadati; Bacteroidota; Flavobacteriia; Flavobacteriales; Flavobacteriaceae
Description: Flavo-1 RNA
Rfam family: Flavo-1 RNA
Source: RNAcentral
CCCUAGCCCUGAUAGCAGUGGAAAUCCUUUUACUUUUUUUCUUAAAAAAUUAAAAGAUUGCAACGGAUAGCAGGAAACAGC